UCGAUUUAAAAAAUUGUGAGGGUUCAAGUCCC
This 32-nucleotide transfer RNA is filed under the name Diascia rigescens. RNAcentral's name for it is "partial tRNA-Leu". The record is from RNAcentral. Lineage: Eukaryota; Viridiplantae; Streptophyta; Magnoliopsida; Lamiales; Scrophulariaceae.